UUGGUUACAAGAAAACCUAAGGUCACUAAUUAAAAAUAAAAUAAGAGUGAUAAAUAACUAAAUAAGUAAGCAAAAGGAAAUGAGUAAGAUAUUAAUGAUAACGAUUUAAUGCGACUAACGGUUUACGAUGAAUACGAGCAAUACGAACGAUAGUUUAAUUACGAAAGGCGAUGAACUAAUUAACGAUAAAUACGAGCGAUACGAACGAUGUUUACGAAACGAACAAGUUAGUUGGGGUCGUAACGAAUAACGAUUUGAUUAAUUAUUUCGAGGGCUAUGAGAUAAACGAAGUAGGCCACACGCUCGGUAGUCCUAACGUUAUGUGCGAGUGCUAGUUACGCCGAACUUCGAAACGUGUUGCGAUACAAUAAAGAAAAGGUAAGGCGACUAAUACUUAAUCUUAAUGCGAUGGAAUGGAAGUACCAUGGGCACCUGCCUCCUUCGAUAUCCACGACGAGAUGUCGAAACACAGCGGCGUCGCAGCGAAGUUCCAGUCGAUGUCGAGUCGAGGUUUUUGGUGAUUCUCCAGCUGUUCUGGGAGGGCUCACAACUGCCCACGACAGUUGGAAUUCAUAGAAUUCGUUCUCCCACUCGAAACUGGCUCCAAUUUUCGAUCACGGGAAUAGCAAGAUCAGCGACAAAACAAAAAAACUGCAAGGAGAGCAAAGUCUGAGAAGAUGUUCGAACUCAGUCAACCCCAAGGGUUCCACAUGUCACAUGCACUUGGGAUGCCAGGGAAAAGCUAAUCAAAAGAUUUACCUGCGGAUCGACUGCAGCUUCUCCGAUGUUAGCGGGAUGGUCUAGUGCCCUUAACCCAAAAUCCGACAAAGUCGUAGUGCUCGAAUGCACUAUAUCUUUUACAGCUCACAAAUGCGCUCCAAGCGAUAGCACCUUUUAGGGGACCCAACAGAUCCAACGAAUGCGAUUCCAAACGUAACACCAAAUAAAAGGUUGCUAAAACGAACUGCAAAAGAGGAAAGCACUAACCCCCAACACCAUUCAACACGAAGUACCAAAGCAAAAUGGAUUCCCUUCCACCUGCGAUGACGUGGCAAGGUAACGAAGCGAGAAUUAACGGAAGUUUGGCCCUCUAGUGGCAAACUUACGAAACGUUGAAUUCCGACGAAAAUCCCUAAUCGAUGUAACUAUUAAGUGGAUGCGAUGGUUAUUACAAAAGAAAAAAAAACAAACAAGGCUAUCAAGAUUCCAGAAAUGACGAAGACUCUAGGGGACGCUCCACGGCGUUUGUUCCCACCUAGAGUGAAGCUCUGGGAUGGCGCGAUCCAUCCAGUUCCUUAUAGCAAGAACCAAGCUGAAACGAUCCAGAAGACCGAUCUACAAACAGCGAGGCUGAAACACUCAUCUGAGCCCCUCCAAGCUCAGAAUCAUCGCGACAGUCUUGCGACUGGGGGAGUCAAAAGCUCGGGACGAACCCUCCACCAAAGUUGUCCUUCAUUGCCACCGUGCCCAACCCAACCACCCAUGCACGAAAUGACGAAACGAAAAAAAAACGAGUAAACAAAAUGUAAUCCGAUCCAAGAAUGCCAAUAAAAACCGAAAUAGCUA
This is a long non-coding RNA of Zophobas morio, 1566 nucleotides long. RefSeq lists it as uncharacterized. The transcript has 4 exons. Lineage: Eukaryota; Metazoa; Arthropoda; Insecta; Coleoptera; Tenebrionidae. The record is from RefSeq and is a predicted model, not a curated record.